RNAcentral lists this ribosomal RNA (239 nucleotides) under uncultured bacterium. Its description in RNAcentral is "partial 16S ribosomal RNA". It matches the Rfam family "Bacterial small subunit ribosomal RNA", at positions 94 to 334 of the family's 1533-position model. The record is from RNAcentral.
AGCGGCGGACGGGUGAGUAACGCGUGGGUAACCUGCCUCAUACAGGGGGAUAACAGUUAGAAAUGCUGCUAAUACCGCAUAAGACCACAGCACCGCAUGGUGCAGGGGUAAAAACUCCGGUGGUAUGAGAUGGACCCGCGUCUGAUUAGGUAGUUGGUGGGGUAACGGCCUACCAAGCCGACGAUCAGUAGCCGACCUGAGAGGGUGACCGGCCACAUUGGGACUGAGACACGGCCCAA